This 253-nucleotide ribosomal RNA is filed under the name uncultured bacterium. RNAcentral's name for it is "partial 16S ribosomal RNA". It matches the Rfam family "Bacterial small subunit ribosomal RNA", at positions 524 to 776 of the family's 1533-position model. The record is from RNAcentral.
UACAGAGGGGGCAAGCGUUGUUCGGAAUUCCUGGGCGUAAAGGGCGCGUAGGCGGCCUGUUAAGUCGAACGUGAAAUCCCCGGGCUCAACCCGGGAACUGCGUCCGAUACUGGCAGGCUUGAAUCCGGGAGAGGGAUGCGGAAUUCCAGGUGUAGCGGUGAAAUGCGUAGAUAUCUGGAGGAAUACCGGUGGCGAAGGCGGCAUCCUGGACCGGCAUUGACGCUGAGGAGCGAAAGCUAGGGGAGCAAACGGG